CCUACGGGCGGCAGCAGUGGGGAAUAUUGGACAAUGGGGGGAACCCUGAUCCAGCCAUGCCGCGUGUGUGAAGAAGGCCCUCGGGUUGUAAAGCACUUUCAGUGAGGAAGAACGCCUGGUGGUUAAUACCCAUCAGGAAAGACAUCACUCACAGAAGAAGCACCGGCUAACUCCGUGCCAGCAGCCGCGGUAAUACGGAGGGUGUGAGCGUUAAUCGGAAUUACUGGGCGUAAAGCGCGCGUAGGUGGCUUGAUAAGCCGGUUGUGAAAGCCCCGGGCUCAACCUGGGAACGGCAUCCGGAACUGUCAAGCUAGAGUGCAGGAGAGGAAGGUAGAAUUCCCGGUGUAGCGGUGAAAUGCGUAGAGAUCGGGAGGAAUACCAGUGGCGAAGGCGGCCUUCUGGACUGACACUGACACUGAGGUGCGAAAGCGUGGGUAGCAAACAGGAUUAGAUACCCGUGUAGUC
RNAcentral lists this ribosomal RNA (465 nucleotides) under Vreelandella stevensii. Its description in RNAcentral is "partial 16S ribosomal RNA". It matches the Rfam family "Bacterial small subunit ribosomal RNA", at positions 338 to 795 of the family's 1533-position model. The record is from RNAcentral. Lineage: Bacteria; Pseudomonadati; Pseudomonadota; Gammaproteobacteria; Oceanospirillales; Halomonadaceae.